AAGCCCAUUUCAUUCAUUUAGGGGGAACCAAUUCAUAUUACACCUUGAAGCUCCGAAGCUCUGAAACUCCGAAGCUCUCAAGCAUCUAGGUUCCCGAAGAAUCAAGAAAGCCUUCUUCGUUCUUCUUUCAUCGUUCUUCCGAGAUCAAGCCCCGACGGCCCUUGAAGAAAGUGUUCUUCGUUCAUCGUUCUUCCAAGAUCAAGCCCCAAUGGCCCUUUGGAUCAACAAUCAUCCACCAAUUCAAGAUCAAGCCCCGACGGCC
RNAcentral lists this long non-coding RNA (262 nucleotides) under Malus domestica (apple). RNAcentral describes it as "long non-coding RNA (MDOM_LNC005814)". Lineage: Eukaryota; Viridiplantae; Streptophyta; Magnoliopsida; Rosales; Rosaceae. The record is from RNAcentral.